Molecule: long non-coding RNA, 343 nt
Filed under: Mytilus galloprovincialis (Mediterranean mussel)
Lineage: Eukaryota; Metazoa; Mollusca; Bivalvia; Mytilida; Mytilidae
Source: RNAcentral
GAGGGGGAUGGGAUUAGAUUUGAAAAAGGCAUCAACUAAGAGCUAAACAACGAGCAGAAAGAAGAAAAUGUAAAAACAAAAAUGAAUUUGCGUAUAUCAGAGUGGCGGGUAUAUGUCGAACACGAUAUAAGGCGCUUCAAAACUUUCAGAGUCAAUGGAAGCUUAUGGAGACACCCGAGAGAAGAAAUCAAUCAGACAAUAGAGCGGUGUGUGGGAUUAAUAAAGCCAUACAUUAAACUUUUUCAGGAACUGUAAUACAACAAUAAAAUUAUUAUCUAACUGGCUUACUAUGUAUAUAUAAUCAAUCUAGAAUCAAAUGAACUUGUAUAACUCUCAGCCCCCC